GUCCACGCCGUAAACGAUGGGUGCUAGACGUUGGCGGGCUUGCUCGUCAGUGUCGCAGCUAACGCGUUAAGCACCCCGCCUGGGGAGUACGGCCGCAAGGUUGAAACUCAAAGGAAUUGACGGGGGCCCCGCACAAGCGGUGGAGCAUGUGGUUCAAUUCGACGCAACGCGAAGAACCUUACCAGCCCUUGACUUGUGGCUCGCCGGUCCCGGAGACGGGACCUUCGGUUCGGCCGGAGCCAACACAGGUGCUGCAUGGCUGUCGU
This 266-nucleotide ribosomal RNA is filed under the name uncultured bacterium. RNAcentral's name for it is "partial 16S ribosomal RNA". It matches the Rfam family "Bacterial small subunit ribosomal RNA", at positions 793 to 1055 of the family's 1533-position model. The record is from RNAcentral.